GAAGCAGCCGGGCACCUGGCCGCGUGCGGCCGGAGGCUGCGAGCGCCCGGGAUUGAGGUGCAAUCUCUAGGUUGGACCCUGGGCCACCUAUCCAAGCCCCCUGAUAUCUGUGGUCCUCCAUCCAUCUGGGCCAGUGACCCGCUGCUCAGGGUGCUGUUCACACUUGUUCCUUGGCACCCUGGGACGUGUGGCGUUUGUGGAGAAUUCCGCCAGUAGACACCUCGGUCUUCUGAUCCUCCGCGGCGGCUUCGGUGACCAAAGACUGAUAGGAAUGGGUGAAUAGGGAGUGGCUUCGAAAUCACCAACAGGCAACAUUCCCUAGGAGCAAAGUCUAGGAGCCUGGGUUCCACUGCAGGACGUCACACCAUGAAAAAUACCUGACUUCUAAAGGAGGCAGGUUGCAGCCUGCCUGGCCUGCAACAGGCCUGAUAAUGAACCAGUGUUCUUUCAACUUCGGAACCAUGCUCUGCAUUCAGGUGCUGGUGACACUGUAAGUAGAAAGGAUAAGGGAACCACGUGGAUGGCAAUAGACAGUGAACAGAACGAUGGGCUCAAAUCCACUCACCUGGCUGCUCUGUGAAGUUCUCUGCCUAUAAGCCCAGCUGAAGGUGUCCUUGGUGUGACCUUCAGCCCUGAUGGUGUUUUGGAGAGUGGCAGACCAAAGCCAGAGCACGGAGCUGGACCCAUUGAUAGCAAGAGUGGCCUACGACUCCCUAGUGUACUUCUCCUCCUUAAACUGGUACCUUUUCCUCUGAAGAGCUCUUCUAUCCUGGGCCAACCCAUCUACUUCCUCAGUCCUGUGCUGUUGUCUCUGAAAUGCCCAUAUUAUUGCAAAGAAACUGCAAAUUACCAUGAUAAAUACUGGAAGCAGGGAGUCACAGGAUAACUCUAAUUUUAGUUGGAGAUGUAAUAGUAAUAAUUAUACUAUUUUAAACAUGCUUUACACACUAACUCGGUG
RNAcentral lists this long non-coding RNA (958 nucleotides) under Heterocephalus glaber (naked mole-rat). RNAcentral's name for it is "lncRNA (ENSHGLG00100035114.1)". The record is from RNAcentral. Lineage: Eukaryota; Metazoa; Chordata; Mammalia; Rodentia; Bathyergidae.